AAUACCGCAUACGUCUGUGAAGAGAAAGCGGGGGAUCGUAAGACCUCGCGCUAUUGGAUGAGCCAAAGUCGGAUUAGCUAGUUGGUAAGGUAAUGGCUCACCAAGGCGACAAUCCGUAGCUGGUCUGAGAGGACGACCAGCCACACCGGAACUGAGACACGGUCCGGACUCCUACGGGAGGCAGCAGUGGGGAAUAUUGGACAAUGGGGGAAACCCUGAUCCAGCGACGCCGCGUGUGUGAAGAAGGCCUGCGGGUUGUAAAGCACUUUUAGUGGGGACAAAAAGUCACGGGCGAAUACCCUGUGAUCUUGAUUUAACUCACAGAAAAAGCACCGGCUAACUCUGUGCCAGCAGCCGCGGUAAUACAGAGGGUGCGAGCGUUAGUCGGAAUUACUGGGCGUAAAGCGUGCGCAGGCGGUUCUAUAAGACAGAUGUGAAAUCCCCGGGCUCAACCUGGGAACUGCAUUUG
RNAcentral lists this ribosomal RNA (469 nucleotides) under uncultured Gammaproteobacteria bacterium. Its description in RNAcentral is "bacterial SSU rRNA". It matches the Rfam family "Bacterial small subunit ribosomal RNA", at positions 165 to 629 of the family's 1533-position model. The record is from RNAcentral. Lineage: Bacteria; Pseudomonadati; Pseudomonadota; Gammaproteobacteria.